AAGACCUUGCGCUUUUGGAGCGGCCGAUGCCUGAUUAGCUUGUUGGUAAGGUAAAAGCUUACCAAGGCUUCGAUCAGUAGCUGGUCUGAGAGGACGACCAGCCACACUGGGACUGAGACACGGCCCAGACUCCUACGGGAGGCAGCAGUGGGGAAUUUUGGACAAUGGGGGCAACCCUGAUCCAGCCAUGCCGCGUGAGUGAAGAAGGCCUUCGGGUUGUAAAGCUCUUUCAGCCGGAACGAAACGGUUACGGAUAACACCCGUGACUACUGACGGUACCGGAAGAAGAAGCACCGGCUAACUACGUGCCGGCAGCCGCGGUAAUACGUAGGGUGCGAGCGUUAAUCGGAAUUACUGGGCGUAAAGCGUGCGCAGGUGGUUUUGUAAGUCAGAUGUGAAAGCCCCGGGCUCAACCUGGGAACU
Molecule: ribosomal RNA, 423 nt
Filed under: uncultured bacterium
Lineage: Bacteria
Description: bacterial SSU rRNA
Rfam family: Bacterial small subunit ribosomal RNA
Source: RNAcentral